RNAcentral lists this ribosomal RNA (1645 nucleotides) under Sulfuricurvum sp. RNAcentral describes it as "partial 23S ribosomal RNA". It matches the Rfam family "Bacterial large subunit ribosomal RNA", at positions 1386 to 2925 of the family's 2925-position model. The record is from RNAcentral. Lineage: Bacteria; Pseudomonadati; Campylobacterota; Epsilonproteobacteria; Campylobacterales; Sulfurimonadaceae.
GGGACCUAAGGCGAGGCCGACAGGCGUAGUCGAUGGACAACGGGUUGAUAUUCCCGUACUGAUGAAGAACCGCCCAAGCUAAUCCAGUAAUGCUAAGUGUCUGAAUCCUUGCUGACGAACCCUUCGGGGUUAGCGGCGAGGCCUAGCACACGACCCUACGCUGGUGCGGUUAGCGUAUUAACAGGUGUGACGCAGGAAGGUAGCCGUACCGGGCGAUGGUUGUCCCGGUGUAAGGAUGUAGGCCGAGAGAUAGGCAAAUCCGUCUCUCAUAUAAGGCUGAGAUCUGAUGCAUAGCCCUCACGGGCGAAUUCGGUGAUCCUAUGCUGCCAAGAAAAGCAUCGACGCGAGGUUCAAGUCACCCGUACCCCAAACCGACUCAGGUGGUCAGGUAGAGAAUACCAAGGAGAUCGAGAGAAUCGUGGUUAAGGAACUCGGCAAAAUGCCCCCGAAACUUCGGGAGAAGGGGGGCCGGAUGUGUGAAGGGACUUGCUCCCGGAGCAUUGAAGGCCGCAGAGACCAGUGGGAAGCGACUGUUUACUAAAAACACAGGUCCGUGCUAAGUCGCAAGACGAUGUAUACGGACUGACGCCUGCCCGGUGCUGGAAGGUUAAGAGGAACGGUUAGCCGCAAGGCGAAGCUGAGAAUUUAAGCCCCAGUAAACGGCGGUGGUAACUAUAACCAUCCUAAGGUAGCGAAAUUCCUUGUCGGGUAAGUUCCGACCUGCACGAAUGGCGUAACGACUUCCCAGCUGUCUCAACCGCGAACUCGGCGAAAUUGCACUACGAGUAAAGAUGCUCGUUACGCGCAGAAGGACGGAAAGACCCCGUGACCUUUACUAUAGCUUUGUAUUGGUGUUUGGUGUGGCUUGUGUAGGAUAGGUGGGAGACUGUGAAGCUUGGACGCUAGUUCAGGUGGAGUCAUUGUUGAAAUACCACUCUGGUCACUCUGGAUAUCUAACUUCGGACCGUAAUCCGGUUCAGGGACAGUGCCUGGUGGGUAGUUUAACUGGGGCGGUUGCCUCCCAAAAAGUAACGGAGGCGCCCAAAGGUUCCCUCAACCUGGUUGGCAAUCAGGUGUCGAGUGUAAGUGCACAAGGGAGCUUGACUGUGAGACUGACAGGUCGAGCAGGGACGAAAGUCGGGACUAGUGAUCCGGCAGUGGCUUGUGGAAGCGCUGUCGCUCAACGGAUAAAAGGUACCUCGGGGAUAACAGGCUGAUCUUGCCCAAGAGUCCAUAUCGACGGCAUGGUUUGGCACCUCGAUGUCGGCUCGUCGCAUCCUGGGGCUGGAGUAGGUCCCAAGGGUUGGGCUGUUCGCCCAUUAAAGCGGUACGCGAGCUGGGUUUAGAACGUCGUGAGACAGUUCGGUCCCUAUCUUCCGUGGGCGCAGGAGAGUUGAGGAGAGCUGACCCUAGUACGAGAGGACCGGGUUGGACGUACCACUGGUGUACCAGUUGUUCUGCCAAGAGCAUCGCUGGGUAGCUACGUACGGAUGAGAUAACCGCUGAAAGCAUCUAAGCGGGAAGCCAACUCCAAGAUGAACUCUCCCUGAAGUUCCCUUGAAGACUACAAGGUUAAUAGGCUAGAUGUGUAAGAGAAGUAAUUCUUUCAGCUGACUAGUACUAAUAGAACGUUCGUCUUUAUCUA